RNAcentral lists this ribosomal RNA (292 nucleotides) under uncultured bacterium. RNAcentral describes it as "partial 16S ribosomal RNA". The record is from RNAcentral.
GGACUACCGGGGUAUCUAAUCCUGUUUGCUCCCCACGCUUUCGUUCCUCAGCGUCAGUAAUCGGCCAGGUGGUCGCCUUCGCCUCUGAUGUUCCUGCAGAUCUCUACGGAUGUCACUCCUACACCUACAAUUCCACCACCCUCUACGAUACUCAAGAAACACAGUUUCAAAUGCACGUCCCAAGUUUAGCUCGGGGAUUUCACACUUGACUUACAUUUCAGCCUACAAACCCUUUACGCCCAGUAAUUCCGAACAACGCUCGCACCCUUCGUAUUACCGCGGCUGCUGGCAC